UGGCUGGAGCUGACUCACUGGCUGGAGCUGCCUCCGGGCCUUGAAGGAUGGAAGAAGCCUUCCUUCUCCUCCUCCUCCUCCUCCUCCCUUUACCGGAGUGAAGCUGAGGCUCAGCGCCCACCUCCCCUGUGCCUUCUGAAACGGAUUCCUGGGCUGGAGCAUGCAGACUGCCUGGUUGACUCGGUGAGGUCCAUUCUCUCCGAUGGCGGAGAUAUGCGGCAAAUCUCCAGAAGUCUAAAAUCCGUAGCCCUUCCAUCUCACAUUGAGGCAGAGGAUCGUCAAGGCAGCAAUUAAAGAAAUCCUUUAAAGCAGCAUCAUUGUACCCCAGCCCCACCGCCAUCGUCCAAAAGACCUUGGCGAAGCAUCCUACCUCCCAGCCGUCCUGACGUUGGGCCGUCAAAGCCCGAACUUGAGCCAUCCGCUCCCUCGUGGUGGCUGGCGGAGGAAUCCGGAAGCUCAUGCUGCUGGAUCUGUUGUCUGGUGGUUUGUUCUGUCACGGUGCACACAAGAACAAGAUGGUAAGAUCCAAGUGCAGUGAUGUUUAUUAAAGGGAACUCCAAACACGUAAUCCAAGGAACAGGCAAGGGUCAAAAUCACAGAAACAGUCCACAAAACAAAAGGCCAGAGAAACAAACGGUGCACGUAACAAAUACAACAAACCACAACUGAGGACAGAAACAACUGAGAUUAAAUGGACAGACACUGAUUACAAAAUACAUGACAGCUGGGUGUAAUGAAGUGAUAAAUGGAUAAUGAGUCCGGCAGUGCGUUAUGGGUAGUGUAGUCAAUGGGGUGAAAACAGUCCAGGAUGGAGUGCCCUCAAGUGGCUAAUUCGGGCACUCUCACUGACGGUCGUGACACGAAAUCCACCACAAGAUCAGAGAUCAUAUCAGAUCCCGAUUGUCAUAUUCACUCUGUUGAUCGUUAUGCUGUCUGCUGCAGUAAUAGGUUUAUUAAUGAUGAACCGUAAACUGUCUCAGAAGAUUCCCAAAUAUGUAAAUGGUCAUCAGAUUUCGGAAAGAAGAAUAACUUCCAUUCCGACCAGCGGCACUGUUGUUCCUCCUCAGAAUCCACUGACCGAUCAUGAAUAUCUAGAAGUACUGCCAUACUCGAAAUAACAUACUGACAGAUUGAUUGUUGUUUGAUUCUAAUGAUCAGAACUGUGUGCUGCUUGAACAUUAAAUGUCAAUCAAGUUUUAUAAUAUAACUUUGGAUUUGAGAAUAUAUCAACUUUGUAAUGUUUUUGAUUGUUUAUGUUGCUUUGAGUUGCUUACAGUUUUU
This is a long non-coding RNA of Megalobrama amblycephala (Wuchang bream), 1281 nucleotides long. RefSeq lists it as uncharacterized. NCBI's taxonomy places the organism in Eukaryota, Metazoa, Chordata, Actinopteri, Cypriniformes, Xenocyprididae. The transcript is spliced from 3 exons. The record is from RefSeq and is a predicted model, not a curated record.